UGAACGCUGGCGGCGUGGAUAAGGCAUGCAAGUCGAACGCGAAAGUCCCGGCUUGCCGGGACGAGUAGAGUGGCGAACGGGUGAGUAACACGUGAACAAUCUACCCUCUGGAUGGGGACAACCUCGGGAAACCGGGGCUAAUACCGAAUAAGUCCAGUAGAUCAUAAGAUUUUUUGGAGAAAGCGGGCCUCUACUUGUAAGCUCGCACCAGAGGAGGAGUUCGCGGACCAUUAGUUUGUUGGUGGGGUAACGGCCUACCAAGACUUCGAUGGUUAGCUGGUUUGAGAGGAUGGUCAGCCACACUGGGAUUGAGAUACGGCCCAGACUCCUACGGGAGGCAGCAGUCUAGAAGCUUCGGCAAUGGGGGCAACCCUGACCGAGCGACGCCGCGUGCGGGAUGAAGGCUUUCGAGUCGUAAACCGCUUUCAGUGGGGAAGAAAGGUGUUCGGGCCAAUACCCCGGGCAUUUGACGGUACCCGCAGAAGAAGCCUCGGCUAAUUCC
RNAcentral lists this ribosomal RNA (502 nucleotides) under uncultured bacterium. RNAcentral's name for it is "bacterial SSU rRNA". It matches the Rfam family "Bacterial small subunit ribosomal RNA", at positions 30 to 504 of the family's 1533-position model. The record is from RNAcentral.